GUACUAUAGGCAUAUUGCAGUAAGUUCUGACGUCGUAUAGGGUGGGCAGUGGCAUGAUCUGCCCACCCGACCUUCUACUAACCGCGCUCUAGCUGCAGUUCCAUUAUCGGUCGACAGAUUUACAUAGACAAACAGCAGGCGCUGUUCAAUUUCUUCAGGGCAGUGACGUCACUGCCCUACCAGAAAUGAAAUGUAACGUCACAGUAGGCCUACAACAACUACAGAUAUGAUCGAGAUCUUUGCGAAAUUUCUUUGCAAAUCAUACAAAAAUGUAACAUGAUUUGAGUACUUUGCCACUGAUUACAAUAAUAAACAAACAACAUUUUAUUUAAAAAAAAAAAUUGUGGAUCUACUUUUCUAGUGGAUGAAUCUUUAGUAGGGCUCUGCCCCUCCUGCCCAAGUGAACGAGCCGCGUCUGAUAAGAGAAUCAGGGGAGCCAGUUCAUAGCCUAUGUCUUUGGCAAGUAGCCUACUACAGACACACAGGUGAAGAACAGUCAGCCAGUAGGCUACUACUGUAGCACAACCAGACCCUUACAAAAAAAAAACUGCAUUACAUCAAGUGUCAAACUGCAGAUUUCUGAAUAUGAAAACCGCAGCUUUGGAGAAAAUAUUUGCAGUUCUUGUGCAGGGAAUGCAGUAUUUUAGACACAAAAACCUGCAUUGUAUUACAUAAUACUGUACUUUACUACAGAAAUGCAGUAUUUUGGAUAUGAAAAUACUAUACUGCACUUUAGCCUACUGUGGUACUGUAUAACUGAACAUCAAAGCUGUAUCUAUUAGAAGAAUACGUGUCUCAGUCAAAACUCACAGAAGAACAAUCCAAAAUGGACAGGGUAAAAGAGAAGCCUCCAAAAACACACAGAAGAUCCAGAAACAGCAUAAACGGAAAUCCAAAGAGAGUCCUUAAAGAAUGUUCAAACGCACAGAGGAUACUGACUUAACUGAGGGAGAGAAAAGUCCAAGAUCAAGGGCAGAGAGCACUGUGUGACGGCCAAGGGUACCGAUCUGAGUCUCUGGAACAGCGACGAGGACAGCCAGAUAGCCAAGGUCUCAGCUGCUUAAAAAGCGUUUCAGUGUGAUUACCCACAGGUUGUCUGUAAUCUGGAAGCUUGGCACAUUUAGCAGCAUUCUACCUGGUCGUUUCAGUCCCUCCUGGCCUCUUUCUACAUCCAUAUCCUUCCUGACGCUUCUGGCUACUGUAGGGCCGGCCCGGCUAUCCGUAGGCUAUCUGAGAAAACGUUUUGGAAAAGACGGGCGAUAUGGACCCAACCAACUCUUUUUGGGAGGGGAGAACUCCCUCACAUG
Alosa sapidissima (American shad) is the source of this 1307-nucleotide long non-coding RNA. RefSeq lists it as uncharacterized. The transcript is spliced from 3 exons. Lineage: Eukaryota; Metazoa; Chordata; Actinopteri; Clupeiformes; Clupeidae. The record is from RefSeq and is a predicted model, not a curated record.